GGGCGUUUAGCUCAGCUGGCUAGAGUGCCACGUUGACAUCGUGGUGGUCAGUGGUUCGAGUCCACUAACGCCCACCA
Molecule: transfer RNA, 77 nt
Filed under: Planctomycetota bacterium
Lineage: Bacteria; Pseudomonadati; Planctomycetota
Description: Planctomycetes bacterium (groundwater metagenome) tRNA-Val
Rfam family: tRNA
About the family: Transfer RNA (tRNA) molecules are approximately 80 nucleotides in length. Their secondary structure includes four short double-helical elements and three loops (D, anti-codon, and T loops).
Source: RNAcentral